This 436-nucleotide ribosomal RNA is filed under the name uncultured Clostridium sp. RNAcentral's name for it is "partial 16S ribosomal RNA". It matches the Rfam family "Bacterial small subunit ribosomal RNA", at positions 341 to 792 of the family's 1533-position model. Lineage: Bacteria; Bacillati; Bacillota; Clostridia; Eubacteriales; Clostridiaceae. The record is from RNAcentral. RNAcentral also lists the same sequence under 1 other name.
ACGGGAGGCAGCAGUGGGGGAUAUUGCACAAUGGGGGAAACCCUGAUGCAGCAACGCCGCGUGAGGGAAGAAGGUUUUCGGAUUGUAAACCUCUGUCCUUAGUGAAGAAGAAGUGACAGUAGCUAAGGAGGAAGCUCCGGCUAACUACGUGCCAGCAGCCGCGGUAAUACGUAGGGAGCGAGCGUUGUCCGGAUUUACUGGGUGUAAAGGGUGCGUAGGCGGCCAACCAAGUCAGGCGUGAAAUGCAGAGGCUUAACCACUGAACUGCGCUUGAAACUGGAUGGCUUGAGUGAAGUAGAGGUAGGCGGAAUUCCCGGUGUAGCGGUGAAAUGCGUAGAGAUCGGGAGGAACACCAGUGGCGAAGGCGGCUUACUGGGCUUUAACUGACGCUGAGGCACGAAAGCGUGGGGAGCAAACAGGAUUAGAUACCCUGGUA